This 291-nucleotide ribosomal RNA is filed under the name Rahnella variigena. Its description in RNAcentral is "partial 23S ribosomal RNA". It matches the Rfam family "Bacterial large subunit ribosomal RNA", at positions 2640 to 2925 of the family's 2925-position model. The record is from RNAcentral. Lineage: Bacteria; Pseudomonadati; Pseudomonadota; Gammaproteobacteria; Enterobacterales; Yersiniaceae.
AUCUGCCGUGGGCGUUGGAAGAUUGAGAGGGGCUGCUCCUAGUACGAGAGGACCGUAGUGGACGCAUCACUGGUGUUCGGGUUGUCAUGCCAAUGGCAUUGCCCGGUAGCUAAAUGCGGAAAAGAUAAGCGCUGAAAGCAUCUAAGCGCGAAACUUGCCUCGAGAUGAGUCUUCCCUGUGGCUUUAAGCCACCUGAAGGGACGUUUAAGACUAAGACGUUGAUAGGCUGGGUGUGUAAGUGCAGCGAUGCAUUGAGCUAACCAGUACUAAUGACCCGAGAGGCUUAACCUU